This 560-nucleotide ribosomal RNA is filed under the name earthworm cast bacterium C1M1. Its description in RNAcentral is "bacterial SSU rRNA". It matches the Rfam family "Bacterial small subunit ribosomal RNA", at positions 79 to 653 of the family's 1533-position model. The record is from RNAcentral.
CUUGCUCUCUGGAUCAGUGGCGAACGGGUGAGUAACACGUGAGCAAUCUGCCCCUGACUCUGGGAUAAGCGUUGGAAACGACGUCUAAUACCGGAUACGAGCUGCGAAGGCAUCUUCAGCAGCUGGAAAGAACUUCGGUCAGGGAUGAGCUCGCGGCCUAUCAGCUAGUUGGUGAGGUAAUGGCUCACCAAGGCGUCGACGGGUAGCCGGCCUGAGAGGGUGACCGGCCACACUGGGACUGAGACACGGCCCAGACUCCUACGGGAGGCAGCAGUGGGGAAUAUUGCACAAUGGGCGCAAGCCUGAUGCAGCAACGCCGCGUGAGGGACGACGGCCUUCGGGUUGUAAACCUCUUUUAGCAGGGAAGAAGCGAAAGUGACGGUACCUGCAGAAAAAGCACCGGCUAACUACGUGCCAGCAGCCGCGGUAAUACGUAGGGUGCAAGCGUUAUCCGGAAUUAUUGGGCGUAAAGAGCUCGUAGGCGGUUUGUCGCGUCUGCUGUGAAAACCCGAGGCUCAACCUCGGGCCUGCAGUGGGUACGGGCAGACUAGAGUGCGGUA